RNAcentral lists this long non-coding RNA (431 nucleotides) under Homo sapiens (human). RNAcentral's name for it is "non-protein coding lnc-C2orf54-1:6". The record is from RNAcentral. Lineage: Eukaryota; Metazoa; Chordata; Mammalia; Primates; Hominidae.
GAAGGGAGCCCACGGUGGCACCAGGGAGCUGGGCCCAGCAGUGGAGGGUGAGGCUGCUGGGAUGAGGAGACAUCCACGGCCCCUGACAGCUGUGAUGUGUGAGUGCCCACGGACACAGCAGGAGGCAGCCCCUCAGCUCAGCCUGCGCCCUGGGGCAGGGCCCAUCCCUACAGGGACCACCACACACUGGGCAGCUCUACCCUCCAUUUGGGACUGAGCUCAGCUGGAGUCGGCUCCCUGUCGCACACACCACCCGAGGUGUCCUCUCGGGCCUUGGGGCAGUGUGGCCAGCAGGGAUCCUCGGGCCAGGAGGCCCCAGGCUCAGCCCAUGGCCCCUUGUUCAUGGACAAAUACCACCUUCUUCACCCCAAGCCCCAGGCCCCUCGGGACACCACCCCGCUUCCUCUCAAGGCCCUCCCCACUGCACCCCU